AAUCCAUUAAGCAUGUUCAUUAUGCAAUAACCGAACUUGCAUGUAUCCAAACAAGAAGAGAGAGUGGCCGAAGUUCAUGUGAAAACCUAAAAGUUGACGGUGGUAUAGCUCUUCUUCCUCUUGAGUUCGACUAAUUGGAGUUCUAAGAAACACAGACGAUUUCUGACAUUUUCUUCUUCAGCAAUUCGUGACACAGGUUCAGAGAUUCAAUAAGAAGAUGCAGACGACUAGUAGAUUUACUUGUGAUUCCUGUUGUUUUUAUAGAGUUCCCUCGCCCUUGUUGCUUCAGAGUUUUUAUUUUA
Molecule: long non-coding RNA, 302 nt
Organism: Arachis ipaensis
Lineage: Eukaryota; Viridiplantae; Streptophyta; Magnoliopsida; Fabales; Fabaceae
Source: RefSeq, a predicted model, not a curated record